This 74-nucleotide transfer RNA is filed under the name Lentisphaerota bacterium. RNAcentral describes it as "Lentisphaerae bacterium (invertebrate metagenome) tRNA-Cys". It matches the Rfam family "tRNA". Rfam says of the family: Transfer RNA (tRNA) molecules are approximately 80 nucleotides in length. Their secondary structure includes four short double-helical elements and three loops (D, anti-codon, and T loops). The record is from RNAcentral. RNAcentral also lists the same sequence under 2 other names. Lineage: Bacteria; Pseudomonadati; Lentisphaerota.
GGCGUGGUGGCCGAGUGGCUAGGCAGUGGUCUGCAAAACCAUCGACACCGGUUCAAUUCCGGUCCACGCCUCCA